This is a long non-coding RNA of Gasterosteus aculeatus aculeatus (three-spined stickleback), 1472 nucleotides long. NCBI's taxonomy places the organism in Eukaryota, Metazoa, Chordata, Actinopteri, Perciformes, Gasterosteidae. The record is from Ensembl.
UCAUCCUGCUAGUUCACACACCUGAGAGCAGCGUUGGUUGGAGGACAGAUUAUUGCAGGCGCUGCUUCAUUCUACGUGUCUCAAAACGAGAUGAUACUGAAUAUAUUUCAUCUAAUCACAUUAAGCUAAUACAUUUUCUUGCCAGUCCUGCUUGGCGAGGGACAAUUAGUCCAAUCAGCUGUUCCGACUCCGGGAAGUGACCGUGAUCAAGUCCAGACAGACUGAAGGUGUGGAAGAAUCGAACAUUUGUCCGCAUCAGCGUAGGAGAGGGUGCGGGCAGAGAGAGGACAACAUCUGUCUGCGCGGUGUUAUGGGCUCUUUUGAUUUGUGCCCCGGUCCAGAUGGGCCGUCACGCCGCGAGCUUUCCAACGGCAAACGCCACAGUAACAAAAUGACUCGGGGCUGUGAUCCAAUGAUGGCGACGCUCAGCGGGACAAACAAAAGGCCAGAUGAAUGGGCAUCUGUUGCGGUAGAUCGUCCCCUCCUGUCCCAUGAAGCCUGCCGAAGAAAAACUUUUAAAUGUCACAGCGUGAAAGACCUGAGGGAUGAGAAAGAACUGCAUUGCAGGCCCGUCAGUGAUGCGCCUUGAGCAACAAUAGUCCCGGAAUGAUUACUGUAACUCGUACCCACCCACAGCUGUGCAGCCAACGGCGGUAACCCCGACUGUUUUACCCGGGCGGCUGGAUGCCGAAGCCUCCCGAGUUCCGCUGUGCUGAGCACCAGCAGCUAGAUCGUGGCCUCAGAGGCCAGGAGGAGUCGUCCUCCUGCAGCAAGACGCACUUCUUAAGGCAAGACAGAGCACCUGAUACUCUGGAAUUAUAAUUAUGCAACGUUGUAAGAUGGAAAGCAAUUUCAUCAGUGUCACAUUGUGUACACGAUUACAUUCUUACAAAACGCGGCGAGGGUUCUUGCACCUGGAGAAGGGAGAGACUGUUGCCAUCUGAAAUUAAUUUACUCAUGAGUGCUGGCAGCUCCGUCCUCGCAUAACAUUCCCAUUGUUCCCCCGUGUUCUCUAAAUUAUUCUGUCGGAUGAAACAACACUUUAUCGUUCCGGUUAAACAUCGCGUGGGAUUAUGGGUAUUAUGAACUUCCUGUGAUCAGGGCGACACUCUUUUUAUUCUGUGUGUGGAUGACCCUCUGUAUCCCAUUCUCGCACUUUUAUUAUUUUAUUCAUGAGAUCUGCUGAUACAUUACGAGGGCUGGAUGGAGACACGGGAAUCCAUUCGGCGUCGGUUCCUCUGCUGGAGGUCGAUCAGUGGCGUGUGGCCCAUUGUCAUGUUACAAAGUGCCCGUCGGGGUUUUGCUUCAGCGGAGGUCUUCAUUUCCUUUUUCGCUUGUGUCACUUGUUUCAGAUGCUUGUCUGCUUAUUGAUGACUCUUUGCUCCCUGGCACUGCAAUAUGCAUCAAUUAAAAAUUAAAAAAAAAAAAAUCUCCUCCCCUCUUUUUUGUCCUCGCUUGACUGUCGGAUCAAA